UCCGGUUUGUCACCGGCAGUCUCGUUAAAGUGCCCAACCAAAUGAUGGCAAUUAACGACAAGGGUUGCGCUCGUUGCGGGACUUAACCCAACAUCUCACGACACGAGCUGACGACAGCCAUGCAGCACCUGUGUUCAGGUUCCCUUUCGGGCACAUCUCAAUCUCUCAAGACUUCCUGACAUGUCAAGGGUAGGUAAGGUUUUUCGCGUUGCAUCGAAUUAAUCCACAUCAUCCACCGCUUGUGCGGGUCCCCGUCAAUUCCUUUGAGUUUUAACCUUGCGGCCGUACUCCCCAGGCGGUCAACUUCACGCGUUAGCUCCGGUACUAAAUGGUUUUACCCACCCAACACCUAGUUGACAUCGUUUAGGGCGUGGACUAC
RNAcentral lists this unclassified non-coding RNA (379 nucleotides) under uncultured Gammaproteobacteria bacterium. Its description in RNAcentral is "contains 16S-23S intergenic spacer region". Lineage: Bacteria; Pseudomonadati; Pseudomonadota; Gammaproteobacteria. The record is from RNAcentral.